GAUCCCUUUGGGAAUCCUAGAAAAGCUGGAAGCCCCUCCCGUAAAAAAUACCCAUCAGCCCCUAUCUGUGCGGUAGUGCAGGUGGGGGCCCCUUGCGAGGCCUCAAACUGUACCCCUUCCUCUGAUUGCCCCUAACCCUGCACUUGCUCCCUCAGGCCCCCAGAGCUCUCGCGAAGCUCCUCAGUAACAGCUCCCCCUAACCGGACACGCAGCCCAGAAAGUCCCGGAAGUUGCUGUAGAUCACAAGGGGUAUCGUCAAGUAGACAGUACUAUUUCUUUGGGUGUCCCCCAAGUAGCAGAUUUGGUUAAUAAAGGCUUCGAAGGAGGAAGAAUUUUAACCAGAACCUGAAGGAUGGAUCUGACCAGAAAGAAAAAUGCGUAAACAGGAAAGUAGCACAAAAAUGCAGUGUUGCCCGUGGAAGGCUGGUGCUGGCCACUGACAAGCUGAAGCCAGAAGAGGCUGUGGAUCUGCGGACUGAGUAUCCUUCAAAGGACGAAGAGAGUAGGCCCGGGGGAGGGGGAGACAAUGAACUCCAGCUGCUUUGGCCACAGCAUCAGUCCGGUGAGGGCGAA
This 573-nucleotide long non-coding RNA is filed under the name Felis catus (domestic cat). RNAcentral describes it as "lncRNA (ENSFCAG00000049108.1)". Lineage: Eukaryota; Metazoa; Chordata; Mammalia; Carnivora; Felidae. The record is from RNAcentral.